CACAGACUCUCGGUAGCUCCCCUCAAACGAGCUAAGAGGGAUAACUUGGUCGGGACGCCCUGCUGGCCGCCCAGUCCUGGACUUCUUCGCUGCCGCCUCGCAAAGCAUUCUCUCGAGCCGGCGGACUCGGGAGGCGAGUCCGAGUGCAACCCGGGGAGCUCAAGCCCUGGUCCUAUGGCACUCCUGGGGAACCGAACCCGGGUCCUAGUGCAGUCCUGGGGAACCGAGACCAUGUUCUAGUGCAGUCCUGGGAGCCCGAGUUCCGAGCCGAGUGCGAACCAGAAAAAUGUGAGCUCCCGAAGUUCUGCACUGAAGCACGAUGUCUAAUCUGGCCCCAUCCUGACUUCUGCUGGAACCAAUGGACAUUGUUUUCCUGAAGAUAGAAGCCGGCUUCCUCAUUGGGUGUUCAGCAGAUGGGACGCACCAAACAGAAGACAGUAGCUCCCUGGGCUCAC
Molecule: long non-coding RNA, 455 nt
Filed under: Cricetulus griseus (Chinese hamster)
Lineage: Eukaryota; Metazoa; Chordata; Mammalia; Rodentia; Cricetidae
Description: lncRNA (ENSCGRG00015042560.1)
Source: RNAcentral